CAGCCGCCGCGGUAACACCAGCCCCUCGAGUGGUGGGGAUGAUUAUUGGGCCUAAAGCGUCCGUAGCCUGCCGUAAAAGUUUCCCGUUAAAUCCAGCGUCUCAAGCGUUGGACCGCGGGAAAUACUGCACGGCUAGAGAGUGGGAGAGGUCAGCGGUAUUCUGGGGGUAGGGGCGAAAUCCUUUGAUCCCCGGAGGACCACCAGUGGCGAAGGCUGCUUACUAGAACACGCCUGACGGUCAGGGACGAAAGCUGGGGUAGCGAACCGGAUUAGAUACCCGGGUAGUCCCAGCCGUAAACGAUGCAUGCUAGGUGUUGGGUUGGCCAUGAGCCGCCUCAGUGCCGCAGGGAAGCCGAUAAGCAUGCCGCCUGGGGAGUACGGCCGCAAGGCUGAAACUUAAAGGAAUUGGCGGGGGAGCAC
Molecule: ribosomal RNA, 420 nt
Filed under: uncultured Nitrososphaerota archaeon
Lineage: Archaea; Thermoproteati; Nitrososphaerota
Description: bacterial SSU rRNA
Rfam family: Archaeal small subunit ribosomal RNA
Source: RNAcentral